CAAAUGCUAGGUUUUCCUAACAGAAAUAGAAACAGCCACAGUCCCUGGGAUGUUGCACAGCAGGGUUCCUGACUGAAAUUUUUCAAUGGUAGCUCCUGCUGGAAUUGGGAGAAACCCCAGGGAGCAUUUUGGGCACAGUCAGAACAAAUCAUUUCUCAUUGCUGCAUCUCCCCUUAUUCCCCCAGCAGAGUCAUUUCCGGCAGCUCUGUUCUCUUGGGGCUGGGAGGUGCUUUUCUGACUCUCUCUCCCACAGCAAACAGGAGGGUCGGUCUCAGCAUGCAGCGUGGGUAUCUCGUCCUCACUGCCUUCCUGGGGCAACUGCCGGAAAUUAUGGGGCAGGUGUCCGUCACCCAGCAAGAAGGACAAGUCACUGUGGAGCAGGGAAAUGCAUUUGAGACCACCUGCACAUACGAGACCUCCUACUUUAGGGGCUUGCUCUGGUACAAGCAGAAGAAGAGCCAAGGCCCUCAGCUGCUUUCAAAUCAAGCAAUAGCAGGCACCAAGCAGGGUGACCGUUUCACCACGGAGCUGAACAUCACGGAGAAAUCCAGUGUUCUGCAGCUGAAGGAAGUCGAGCUCUCUGACAGCGCUUUGUACCUCUGUGCUGUGAGUGACACCCUGGUGCAGGGAGCUACACUGGUUGAGCAAUAACCCUGGGAAGGGAGUGCAAGGCAGAGCUCUGGGAUGGCGUCCUCAGUCCCCUGGCUGCUCUGCUUCCCCUGUGCACCCUGAGAUCUGCCAGCCAGAUGCCCUUUCCCAAAGAGGCUGGUGCCUGUGGCUGUGCAAAGAGUGCUGACCCUGACUGGCUGACCAGGACCACAGUGCUCUGUUUUUCUUCCCUUCCUGGGCUACCUGAAUAGGGCAGAUCCUGCUGGGAACCAAGAUUCCCCUGGGGGCUUGUUCUCAGCCCCUUGAUCCCAGAUUUAGUAAAUUCCUGAAAACCCAUGAUAAAUCAACUUGCUUCAAAUCAUGGCCAGCUGAGCCCAGAGACUCCUAGAACAAGUUCUGACAGAGAUUUGCUGUGUACUUUUCUCUCUUCAAUGAGUCAGUAAAUAAAAUGUAUUUUUUUCUGAGCCAUUUCAUCAUCUCCAGACUUGCAGCCAGUUCAUGUCCAAAACCUGUGCCUGAGGGACAGAACAAAACACAUAGAAUAUCCCUGAUUGCCAAAUGCCCAAGAGAUCUCCAUGUUCAUCACAAUAAGCAAGCAAAGAAAGAUAUAAAUGAAGACUUACAACCAGAUGGGGUGGUUGUUGUCUCCUCAGGGGUGCCAGGGGUAUGUGAUCAUCUGCAGCUCCUGCACAGAGAGCAGUUUUGUAGUGACCAGCUCCCACAGCAGUGGGGGAUUGUACGUCUGGGAGAACCUAGGUGUCCUGCAUGCAGCAAAUGCUGAGACAAAGCAGGAGAAAUGAGGAUAUGCUGAUAAAGGUUCCUCCAUCUCACAAACCAUGCUGAAUGUGGUGUUUUGAUGUCCUCAGACUCAAGGAAGCUCUUCUGUC
Molecule: non-coding RNA, 1496 nt
Organism: Anas platyrhynchos (mallard)
Lineage: Eukaryota; Metazoa; Chordata; Aves; Anseriformes; Anatidae
Source: the annotation of a RefSeq genome assembly